RNAcentral lists this ribosomal RNA (822 nucleotides) under Ganaspini sp. ZJUH 20220007. RNAcentral describes it as "12S ribosomal RNA". Lineage: Eukaryota; Metazoa; Arthropoda; Insecta; Hymenoptera; Figitidae. The record is from RNAcentral.
AAAUAAUUUGUAUUAAAUUUAAUUUAUAUUUUAAAUUAAUUUAUAAGGUUAAAUUUUAAUAUAUAAAUUUUUAUAAAAUAAUUAAUUAAAUAAAUUAAUUUUUUUUAAUUUUAAUUAAUAAAAUUAAUAAAUGAAAGAAAUUUUUAUUUUGUAAAAUUUUAUAAUUAUUGAAUAAUUGAGUGCCAGCCUUUGCGGUUAAACUUAAAAAUAUAAAAUUAAUUAAUUUAAUAAAAAUAUAUUAAAAAUUUUAUAAUUUUAAAAAUAUAUAAAGAUUUAAAAUUGAUUAGUAAAAUAAAAAAUUUUAAUAAAAAUAAAUUAUAUUAUAAAAAUAAUAAUUAAAUUAAUUUUAAAUGAUUUUAUAGAAUAAAUUAGGAUUAGAUACCCUAUUAUUUAAAUUUAAAUUUAUUAUUAAUAAAUUAAAUUUUAAUAAUUAAAUUAGUAAAUUUGGCGGUAUUUAAUAUUAUUCAGGGGAAUUUGUUGAAUAAUUGAUUUUCCACAAUAAAAUAAACUUUAUUAUAUUAAAAUUUAUAUAUUUUUGUUUAGAAAAAUUUUUAUAAAAAUAAUUUUAAAAUUUUUUAUUUAAUAAUUAUUCAAAUCAAUAUGUAGUUAAUAAUUAAGAUCUAAUGAAUUACAAUAAAUUUAUAAUUUAUUAAUUAAAAAUUUUAAUAAUUUUUAAAAAAUAGGAUUUGAAAGUAAAUUUUAUUAAUUAAUAAAAUUGAUUAAAAAUUUUAAAUAUGUACAAAUUGCCCGUCAAUUUAGUUGAAGUUAAAAUUAAAUAAGUCGUAACAAAGUAAAUAUACUGGAAAGUGUAUUUAGAAUAAA